Molecule: non-coding RNA, 32 nt
Filed under: Rattus norvegicus (Norway rat)
Lineage: Eukaryota; Metazoa; Chordata; Mammalia; Rodentia; Muridae
Source: RNAcentral
UGUAUAAAGAAAGCUCAAAAACAUUUUACACA